This 58-nucleotide ribosomal RNA is filed under the name Gnetum leyboldii var. woodsonianum. Its description in RNAcentral is "partial 26S ribosomal RNA". The record is from RNAcentral. Lineage: Eukaryota; Viridiplantae; Streptophyta; Gnetopsida; Gnetales; Gnetaceae.
ACCCCAGUUCAGGCGAGGCCACCCACUGAGUUUAAGCAUAUCAUAAGCGGAGGAAAAG